CCCGCCGCGCGCGGCGGGCGGGGGGGCACGGGGGGACUCCUACGGGAGGCAGCAGUGGGGAAUUUUGGACAAUGGGGGCAACCCUGAUCCAGCCAUGCCGCGUGAGUGAAGAAGGCCAUCGGGUUGUAAAGCUCUUUCAGUUGGGAAGAAACGGGGUUCUCUAAUACAGGGCUCUAAUGACGGUACCGACAGAAGAAGCACCGGCUAACUACGUGCCAGCAGCCGCGGUAAU
Molecule: ribosomal RNA, 232 nt
Filed under: uncultured bacterium
Lineage: Bacteria
Description: partial 16S ribosomal RNA
Rfam family: Bacterial small subunit ribosomal RNA
Source: RNAcentral